Triticum urartu is the source of this 646-nucleotide non-coding RNA. The record is from RefSeq and is a predicted model, not a curated record. Lineage: Eukaryota; Viridiplantae; Streptophyta; Magnoliopsida; Poales; Poaceae.
CAUUUCUUCAGAACUGAAGCUGGAAAAGCAGGAUCGACCAUGAAGCGGUCAUCUUCUUCUCCGUCCUACUCCCACGCGCCAUGGCAAUCCUUCUGGUGAUCGUGUGCUGCUGCUCCCUGUUGCCAUUCCCAUGCUGUGCCGUUUGCAAAGGGCAUGCAUUUGGCGACUUUGGUCAGGGGGCUGAGGCCGGGCCAAGGGUAGGAGGAGACCAAUUUGAUCAGAGGGGUGGGGAGGAAGGGCCUGGGAGAGGAGGAAACCAAUUUGAUCAGGAGGGUGGGGAGGCAGCGCCAGGGGGAGAAGGAAACCCUGUUGGUCAGGGGUCUGGGUUGAGUGGAGGAAACCAAGUAGGACGGACGCCUCCGGCACCGCGGGGUAAGACACCGAGGAACCACAGGUGAUAUGGCGACUCCUGCCAUGACGUUCAUCUGGCGCCCCUGGCGGUUAUUGGAAGGUGAUGGCUGCUGGUUUUCCUAGGAGUAGUUUGGGAGGAUGCUUAUCUAUGGCACAGGUGCUGCCUUUCGGUUGUAGUUUGUGCUAUUUUCCCAAACUUUUUUAAACAUUUGUAUCACGUGCGAGGUUUUUUCUUCUUCUCAUUGUUGUUGUUCAAGAGCGAGCAUUCGCACUGGGUUUCUUAUUGGUGCUCCAA